Chelmon rostratus (copperband butterflyfish) is the source of this 777-nucleotide long non-coding RNA. RefSeq lists it as uncharacterized. Lineage: Eukaryota; Metazoa; Chordata; Actinopteri; Chaetodontiformes; Chaetodontidae. The transcript is spliced from 3 exons. The record is from RefSeq and is a predicted model, not a curated record.
GCUGACAUCUGAUAGUGCUCACAUAAAGACAGCGGUGGGAGAUUUGAGGGGCUGAUGGGAGGUCUGAGGACCUGGUAGAAACCACGCCGCCCUCGUGCGAUCUCACAGCUCGUCCUCGUUCGGCCUCGGCUGCAUCGGAGCGCCACUUCUCCCCGGGUUCACCAGAGGAAACACCACUGCACAAAAUGCUUCUCCUCCCAGCUGCUGCUCUGUGCUGUCUGUGUUCAGCGCUGGUUGCCAUGGCAGCAGAGCUGAUUCAGGAUGAUUUAACAUUGACCAGGAGAGUUGGUGAAAAAGUCUCCUUCAGCUGUCGAGGAACUCAACAGUGUAGCAGUAAUAAUGUAUACUGGUACCAGAAGAAAGACACAGAAACAUUCAGAAGGAUUCUUGAUAUUGACAGGAGUGGUUGUACCGUAGCUCACAGGUACAAUCAUCCUCAGAUAGAUGAUUUCUCAGCUGUGAAUAAACAGGACGGCUGUGAGUUGGAGAUCCAGACAGUUAAACUCCAUCAUUCAGCCUCCUACUACUGCAGCUGUGGGAUCCCCACAGUGAGAAAUGAUCCCUGCAGCCUGAACAAAAACCAACAGAUGAACAGAUGUCAAACAGUGUUUGUGACAGGAAGUAAACCACAGCCCAGGUUCACAUAUUUCACCUCCAUCUCAGCAGAGUCACAAACAUCCUGAAGUGACACAUUUAUUAAAGAUGAGAUUUAUUCACAGUUUCAUCACAUAUUCCAGCAGGAUUUCUGUAGUUUAACACAGUGAAGACAAACGAGCA